AGAGUUUGAUCAUGGCUCAGGAUGAACGCUAGCGGUGCGCCUAACACAUGCAAGUCGAGCGGGUUUAUUUGUGACACAGAGUAGAGAUUUAUUUCUACAUUCUGUGUCACAUGUAAUCUAGCGGCAAACGGGUGCGUAACACGUUGAUAUCUCCCCCGAAGUCAGGGAUAGCCUCGAGAAAUCGAGAGUAAUACCGGAUGGUCCCGUAAGGGUAAAGGAGCAAUUCGCUUCGGGAAGAGUCUGCGGCCUAUCAGCUAGUUGGCGGGGUAAAAGCCCACCAAGGCGAUGACGGGUAGCUGGUCUGAGAGGACGACCAGCCACAAUGGAACUGAGACACGGUCCAUACUCCUACGGGAGGCAGCAGUGAGGAAUCUUCCACAAUGGACGAAAGUCUGAUGGAGCGACACCGCGUGAAGGAUGAAGCCUUUGUUGGUGUAAACUUCUUUUCUCUCCGAAGAUAAUGACGGUAGGAGAGAAUAAG
RNAcentral lists this ribosomal RNA (481 nucleotides) under uncultured Chryseobacterium sp. RNAcentral describes it as "bacterial SSU rRNA". It matches the Rfam family "Bacterial small subunit ribosomal RNA", at positions 8 to 489 of the family's 1533-position model. The record is from RNAcentral. Lineage: Bacteria; Pseudomonadati; Bacteroidota; Flavobacteriia; Flavobacteriales; Weeksellaceae.